CAAACCAGCCGGCUAGGGAAUGAGCUAGGGCGGCAGCCCAGGCUAAGAUACACACGUGGUGGAAGAGAAAGGGGCGGGUCUACUGCCCUUUGUGAUGUCACAAACAGGCGGAGACAGAUCUCUUUGUGUAGUUAGAAAGGAGGGUUCCAGGUGUAAAAGUGGGGGGGAGGGAAAUGUUGCCCCUUGGCGUUCUCUUCAGGAAUUACAACCGAGUUUUCUCUCAACUCCUGGAAGAGAUUAGCUAAUUUCAUGCUGUCUAUUUUACACACUCUUCGCCAAUAUUUUCCUUUUGCUUCCUCCUAAGGUGCUUUCACGUUAAAUAGGGCACGAAAAAAGAUGUUUUGUGUAGGUUAUUGGCAUUCCAGAUACAAUGACAUUGAAGAGCAAGGGCAUCUGAACAGUGGACUUAGAAUCAGGAAGACCUCAGUUCAAAUUCUGCCUCAGACAAAUUUCAGCCGUGUGAACCUGAACGAAUCAUUUUCUGAGCCCCAAUCUCAUCUGUAAAAUGGGGAUAAUAACACCUGCUUCUUGUGGUUGUUUUGAGGAUUAAGUCAAAACAUAUGUACAGCUAUUUUCAUGCCUUAAAGCAUGAUGCAAAUGUCGGUUAUUAUUAAUACAAAGUAUUUAAUGGGAGAGGAUGGCUAGAUGGUACAGUGGAUAGACUCACAGACCUGGAGAAAGAGACAUGUUUCUCUGAAUUCAAAUCUACCCUCAGACACUAGCUCUGUGACCCUGAGCAAAUAAAUCACAACCCUGUUGGUCUCCGUUUCCUGUUUUGGAAAAAGAGCUGGAGAAUCAAAUGGGAAAUCACUCUAAUAUCUUUGACAUGAAAACCCCAGAUGGGGUCAUGAAGAAUGGGACACAGAUAAAUAACAAAAAUUAAAUGGAGGAACUAUGCAUAUAUUAUAAGAGAAGCUUUGCUUAUGGGGAAAGACAAUACCGCAAUAGCAGAAGAGAUUACUUCAGACACAUGGCUGCAGUCAAAAAGAUAUCAGAAGAGGAAGAAAAUGGAGACAGAGAUCAAGAUCAAGACAAAGGAGAAGACAACAUAGAAGAAACAUAAAUCACAGCAAAAAGGACAAUUGAACUGUAACAAAGACAUUGCAGAAAAAAAUCAACACAGAGAAGAGGAAUACAGACUCAUUAUGGACAUGAACUGUAAGAUUUUUGCGCCAUUCUAACACUACACACUUUCACUCUAGUUGCAAACAAACACUACAUAGUAACAACAUGAAGACAGAAGAUAGUAGUAGAGGAAGUAACUUUAAAGACUUAGUAAGUAUUCACUAUAAAAUAACACACAUAUAGUACACAUUUCUCAUAAACUCUGCAACAUCAUAACCAGGUGAUGAGUAUCCAUAGAAAUAAAUAAAUACACAUAAAUCA
Molecule: long non-coding RNA, 1386 nt
Filed under: Monodelphis domestica (gray short-tailed opossum)
Lineage: Eukaryota; Metazoa; Chordata; Mammalia; Didelphimorphia; Didelphidae
Description: lncRNA (ENSMODG00000041544.1)
Source: RNAcentral